Hypomontagnella submonticulosa is the source of this 93-nucleotide non-coding RNA. The record is from the annotation of a GenBank genome assembly. NCBI's taxonomy places the organism in Eukaryota, Fungi, Ascomycota, Sordariomycetes, Xylariales, Hypoxylaceae.
CCCAGUUUAGUGGUCUAAGGCGGUGGUUUUAAGUCAUUCAAAUCUUGAACACCAUUAUCGAGAGAUGCGCAGGUUCGAACCCUGCAGCUGGCA